This 383-nucleotide long non-coding RNA is filed under the name Nicotiana benthamiana. RNAcentral's name for it is "long non-coding RNA (NBEN_LNC004309)". Lineage: Eukaryota; Viridiplantae; Streptophyta; Magnoliopsida; Solanales; Solanaceae. The record is from RNAcentral.
GAUGGUACAUCAACAGGUUGCUCAGCUUUCACCUCCUGAUUCUCAUAGUUUUCCUCUGUGUUUUCACUUCCCAUCGAGAACUCAGCAUUAUCACUUGCAUAAUAUUGCUCUUCGGAUCCAUUUGACUUCUCAGGUUUCAUUGACUCGGGCUCAGAUUCUGACAGUUCUAAACGGCUAUAAUUGAUACGGUUUCUGGUUGCCCUGUCAAUUGCAUCAUAUUGCUCUUCGGAUCCAUUUGACUUCUCAGGUUUCAUUGACUCGGGCUCAGAUUCUGACAGCUCUAAAUGGCUAUAAUUAAUACGGUUUCUGGUUGCCCUGUUACUGCGUCUUAAACCUGACUGAAGGUUGCCCACUGACCUCAACUUGGUUUCUCUUCUUGUACG